Cronartium quercuum f. sp. fusiforme G11 is the source of this 82-nucleotide non-coding RNA. The record is from the annotation of a GenBank genome assembly. Lineage: Eukaryota; Fungi; Basidiomycota; Pucciniomycetes; Pucciniales; Coleosporiaceae.
GUGGGCGUCUUCUAAUGGUUAGGAAAUCUCGUUGUGGCUUAGCAAUCCCGUGAAAAUGCCGGUUCGAUUCCGGCCGCCCACA